This 509-nucleotide ribosomal RNA is filed under the name uncultured bacterium. RNAcentral describes it as "bacterial SSU rRNA". It matches the Rfam family "Bacterial small subunit ribosomal RNA", at positions 19 to 518 of the family's 1533-position model. The record is from RNAcentral.
CUGGCUCAGAUUGAACGCUGGCGGCAGGCCUAACACAUGCAAGUCGAACGGUAACAGGAAGAAGCUUGCUCUUGCUGACGAGUGGCGGACGGGUGAGUAAUGUCUGGGAAACUGCCUGAUGGAGGGGGAUAACUACUGGAAACGGUAGCUAAUACCGCAUAACGUCGCAGGACCAAAGAGGGGGACCUUCGGGCCUCUUGCCAUCGGAUGUGCCCAGAUGGGAUUAGCUAGUAGGUGGGGUAACGGCUCACCUAGGCGACGAUCCCUAGCUGGUCUGAGAGGAUGACCAGCCACACUGGAACUGAGACACGGUCCAGACUCCUACGGGAGGCAGCAGUGGGGAAUAUUGCACAAUGGGCGCAAGCCUGAUGCAGCCAUGCCCGCGUGUAUGAAGAAGGCCUUCGGGUUGUAAAGUACUUUCAGCGGGGAGGAAGGGAGUAAAGUUAAUACCUUUGCUCAUUGACGUUACCCGCAGAAGAAGCACCGGCUAACUCCGUGCCAGCCGCGGC